ACUCUGCAUAUAUAGAUCAUAGAAACUGAUUGGAAAAGAAUACAAAAACUUAUUCUGCCUAGUUUCUCAUGCAUUAGUUCCAGUAGGCACGAUCUCAAAGUCUAAAGUCAUAUUUUCAUAUUAAUUUAUGACAAUAAAACUUUAUCCGAAAGUAGAGAGAAACAAAUAAAAUCUUCAAAUAUAUUCAUGUUUCAAAUAUCCCUAAUCCCACCACAAAAGCGAAAAAGAACGUAUAAAAUUACCAUUUUGCCGUCGUCAACGAGGACAGGGUUUUCGCAGAGAGUGAGGUAAAGCUUCUUCUUGGAGGAGGAGAAGGUGGAGGAGGAGGAGGAGUGAGAUAGGAUCAGUGGCGGAUCUACAGAGGGACCUGGGAGGUCCCAGAACCCUUCGGCGACCCUAAAUCGCUGCUAGAAAAUUUUCGGGGACCCCUCGUACUCGAACACAAGGUCUGUGCAAUGUGUUUUGUAAUUUCUGGGUUGGUAGGUUCUGUUCUUGCGAGAGGAAGAAGAUGAUUAAAUGAGUUUCUCUCUCAUCCUUUCAUUCCCACGUGACCACCCUCAAACUUUCCCAUUUUAUUGAUUUUUUAAUUGGUCCAAUCACAUUCCGAUAGCUAGCAUCAACUUGAUCUUUCCAAAAUAUGAAAAUGGGUUGUCGGUCCCUAGGUGUAUAUUUUUGUUAAUUGGUGUGGCUCCCCUCCUUACGCGUCUAGUGCUUCAUUUUGCUUUCUACACCCACAUAUUUAACACACUUAUAUUUAUCUUAAAAUUCAAUAUAAAUCAAUAUGAUCUUUAAAAAUAUUAUGUAAAUUACUAUGAACUUGUAAUUAUUUGAACUUUUAUCUUAUACCUUAAAUUCACCAAAAUACUAGGUAUAUAAUAAAUUUAUUUAAAUUCACUUAGACCGCGCACGGAGAAGAAAGAAAAUAGGACCCUUUUUAACAAUUGGUAUAUUUUUUCUAUUUUUUUUUUGUUAAAUGUGUAGUUUAGAAAUAAAAAAAUGUGGAGAGAUUUUUCAAGUCAAAGCUGAUAGCACCAUCUAUUUGGUCAUUGAGAAAGAUGGUUGAGUGAUGUUUUUUCAUGUAUUGGUAAUGAAGCUAUCAUAGAAUAUUUUCAGACUAUGAAACCCCGUCGUGGACGCUCAAAUUAGGAUUUUAUAGCUUGUAAUGUUGUUUUGCGUAUGAUUUUUGAAUGAAAUGUAUUAUAUUUAACUUUUCAAUGUUAAUUUUGUCUAUAAAUGUUUUUACCUUUAUUAAUGGGACCCCCCAAACUUAAAAUCCUGGAUCCGCCACUGCCCGUGGGUAUCCCUCUUCAUGGCCCUUCCUUGCUUUGUUCAGCCAUGGUUUCUGUUGAGUUCGUGUGUAGAGUUCUGGUGUUAUAUCUGGCUCAGGUGUCUCCCACACCACCACGAUCUCCUUGUUGUCUGCCGUUCUCGGCGGUGUUGUUCGGGAUUUUCCCGGAGCUUCUUUCUGAUGGUUGGCUUCUCUCUCGCCGACUAUCUCUUGUUAAUGGUUAUGUGCAGGUGGCGCCUGUGGAGGUGAUGAUCAGCGGUGGAUGGAGGAUUGGAUGGCUGGCUGAUUCUCGGGUCGAUGGUGGAGAGCACAGUGGAUGGUUCUCGGUUGUUUGUUUGGGCUUCACUGUUGUUGGGCUCAUUUUCUUUGUUUUCUUUGUUUUUAGGCCCGUUCUUUAUUUGUUUGUAGGAAUAAUUGGACCUUUGUGUGGUUUGUAAGUGUGUGUUUGUUUUAAUAAAAGUUCCUCGCAACUUAAAAAAAAAAAAAAAAAACAGAAUCUUAAUUAGAAUAUGGAUGAAAAUUAUUAACAGACCUGGAUUCAGGCAGACGAAUCCAUUCCCAAUAUUGAGGAGUAUCGCCCCAAGUAAUCUUAAGCUUCCUUGCAGAUAUCAUAUAGCCCUUUUUCCCACUCCAUUUGUCCACUGAAAAGCUCUGCAAUUAAUAUUGAAUAUGCAUGACAUCAAUUAUAAUUAAAUACAUGAAUAAAAAUUAAUCACAAUAAGUUAAUAACAAAAACGAAGGCAUAUAGUUAAUAUGACGUUACCAUCUUCCCCUAAUCGAUGAGGACCGGGUUGUCACAUAGAGAGAGAGAGAAAAAGCUCCUUCUUGGAUUUCCAACUGGAAGAAGAAGAAGAGCAAGUCGGGACUGGGAGGGAGGAGGGAGACUGAGGUUGUACGGAGCACUUGCCGAGGAUCGUGUAGACAUCAGGCGGAAGGAACCUGUCCCAAACGGCGUCCAAAUCAGCGGCCGACCGGAAACCCCUAGACACCGCUGAAAGCCUGCACGCGUCAGGAGGCGUCGUUAAGGAGGCCACGGUGGCUUUGCAUCCUUCUGGCAACGCCACCAGAUCCAUCGCCGGCGUUCCUGUAGUUUGUCUUUGUAUAUUGUAUUGCGUUUUGGUGUUUGUAAACUUGUGUAAUAUUGUUUGGGCACAAAUUUACACCAUCAAAGUGAGCAUAACUUUCAACUGUUGGAUAGAAAAGUAAAGAUAGUUUUGUUGUUGUUAAAAGAUAAUAUUAUGGUUUUUAUCAUAAUAAUUAUCUUUUAACUAUCUUGACAAAUGCGAAUUAUAUCUCUAAGCAAGGGGUACAGUUCAAAUUAAGUUGGGAUGUGUGUGGACGUGUGGAGUAGUCAAAGUAAAGUGAUGUGAUGGGAUCAAGGUGCCAGCCAUGAUUUUUUAUGCAUGCAUGUGAUGAUUUCAUUAAAUGCCGUGCAAAAGUUGGAAAUGGUUUGGAUGGAUAAAGAUGGCAUGAAAAAGGGUUUAUUUUGAUGGUCUCGACGUGGAAAGCAAAUGACCACCAAAUGGCAUGUAUCCUUGGAUUUUGGCAGGUUUUUUACCGAGUCUUGUGGAAGUGAAUGGCUAGGCUUGCAUGUUAAUUAUCAGCAUGCUUUGGUUCCAGAGCCGUGGAGGUCAUUAUGCAUGUUAAUUAUUUGCAUAAAAUAAGGAGAUAAUGAUAACAUCUAAAAGAAAGGCUGUUGCUUACCUUGAGAAGUGUUUGACUGGGACUCUGGUUGAUGAGUGUGAAUUGAAAUCAAAUCCUACACUAGUGUGAAGCCGCACCACACAUUUGCGUCUAUAAAUACAAGGUUGCGAACACCAUUGAAGCCCCUCUAAUUCAACACACAAUUGCCCUGUGCAAACUUUCUCAACAACCUUGAGAUUUUUACUUUUUCCUUUUCGCCGACACAUCUUUCGUUGGUAUCAAUAGCACUGUGAAGGCAACCAGUGAUAUCCUCAGUCGACAUAAGAUAGCUCUGUCACCGUAGAAUCAGCUAAUCUCGCAGCAUCUUCCGUUGGUAUCAACAGCACUGCGGCGAGGACAGUUGGUUACCUAUCCAAGUCUCGGUCGAGAAGGAUUUCCGAAUCCUUGUUGGUCGAGGUCAUCUCAUUAGCCUUCUCAGCGAAGUGAGGUGUUACAGUUUACCGAGCUCGGCGCAUUGCACGCCGAGUUAUUUUAUGAUUGGAUACUCUCAAGUGGGAUUUAGAGUUCGGCAUUCUGACAGUCGAACCACGUUCACCAUUAAGACUUAUAUCCACUUUGAGUAUUUGUGCCCUUACACUUUGGUGUCGAUUCGGCGUGGGUUUACUCUGACAAAUACCAUCACUGUGACCGAGUUCGACGACGACGAUUCGUGAACUUCAUGAGAAUAGCAACCUUGUCUUCAGGCUGCAUAAGUCAGUAGCGCGACCCAAUGCAACAUUAGCAAAUUUUACUUCUCGGCCGAGCUCGGCCGACGAGUUGGCACGCCCCGCACACAACCGAAUGACGUAGUUAGCUCAUAGAUUACUCGGCCUGCGCGCCACGUACGUAGGCUUGGUAGUUUUUAGGGUCAACAAAUAUAUGCAUGGAUUUCCUAGAUGAAGUCUUAGGGGUUAAGUUUAGGGUUGUUUUAUAACGCAUCAAGGUAUAUGGUAUGCACCAGGUUUAUAGAAACGUUAAAUUCGUUGGGUUCUUGGACCAAAUACAAAAAGAAAAGAUCUUGACCUAUUCUCUGGGGAUGCAUAAAAAUAUAGAAUGGUUUUAAAUUUUGAGUAUCAGCCUAAUUAUUUCUCUUAGAUUAGUAAUACAUUAUUCAGCCUAUAUUCAAUGCACAUAUAAAAGGUUAUUUUUUCGAAAGACCUAUUUGUCGAUUUAUCCUCCGAACUUGUAUACACCUACCAAUUUCCCUUAUGAAUUUUAAUUUAGCUGAUUAUACCUGAACUUUUAUAAAUAGAUUUUGAAAAUUUUCAACUAAUCUUCCAUUCAUCUUGAUCACGCGAACAUCACAUGGCAAAUAUAUGAUGGGGAAAGGAUAAUUUUGUUUUGGUAAAUUGGGCACAAAGUUAGUACUUUGCCGUUGCAAAUUAGAUUCCUAUGGCUAAUUCAAACAUAAAGUAUACGGAGUCAACUAGCAAAAGAGAACAUUAGGGUAAUAUUACUUGAUUACCCUUAAACAUUUUUCAUCAGACUAAAAUGGGUAGGAAAUUGAAUGAAUUUUUUAAAAUCUAAUGUCAGAAAGGAAAUUGACUAAUUAUAAAAGUUUAGAAGGGUAAUCAACUAAAAUUAAAAUUUAGAGAGAAAAUUAGCAACUGCUUAAAGUUCUAGGAGAAAAUCGACAGAUAACUCUUUUCAAAAAAAGAGAAAAGGUUAUUGGGUUUCCUUUUUCCUUUUCAUUUCAAAUUUUUUACUUUAAUAAAUCAUCAGUACUAUCUAGUAUCUAGUAUAUAUUCUUUUAAGUUAGAAAUCUCAAAUUCAACUUAUCUUGUUAACAAAUUUAAUGUAAUAACACCGACGGUGAUAGACCCACGUUAGGAUAAAAAGUGGCCAUUCCCUCCCCUCCAAGGGCCCAUGCAAUAUUUCUAGCCAAAUACCUCCAUUACCCACCACCCCCCACAAAAAAGGGAAAGAAAAAAGAAGAAAAGAAAUCAGUCUAAUUGGUUCCAAAUCGAGCACUUAAACUCGGUUUGAUUUGCGACGCCACGCCAGAUGACCUUGUGCACCAUGAACUUGGCCUAGAAGAGAAUGCACGUAUUCUUAGGUGAAAAAACUAUACGUGUGAUAACACAUCUCCCAAUCUCUCCAUUCAUCAAAUAAGUUUAUAACGUUUUACAACAAGUAUUCAAAGGUGAAGGGAAUCAUUAAAUAAUUAUUCAAGAGGACUGUAAUCACCGUUGAUGAUCAGGGUUCAACCCAUGUCAAAGUUAAAGAAUCAAAAGGGUGCGGUUGUCGCGGUGUGACCAGAGAAAUUGGUGUCCGGUAAGAGACAGAGAAGCAAGACUACACUUUGGCAAUCAAGUACAAGAGCUCCGAGGAAGAAGCCAUCUCAUUUGGUGCAAUUGUUUGGGAAGAAGAGAGUGAAAAUUUUACUAUGAGGAGCCCUAUUGUGAUCUCGGGUAGCCCUAUUGUGAUCGUUGUGUAAGAACACGUUAGCUGGCAUUUCGGGAAGUUUGGUACGACUUCAAUUCAAUCCAUGUAGUUCAAAGAUGAGCAAUUGCAACCAUUUUAUCAACAAAAUUAUAAUACAAUGAGCCUUUUUGUUUCUCUUACUAGUAAUUUUCCUAAUAUGUAACAUCGACAAUGCACCUAUUACAUGUAAGUCCUUAGAAAAAGUUCAACUUUCUACACUCUUUUGGGCCUGACUUCAAUCCCUUGAACAAUAAGGCCUCUCUUCAUUCUAUGAAUGUCAAAAUCCCUACAUGUCAUCUCCAUUAACCCCCCAUUUUCUUCUCCUGGACAGAAGAACUCUCCAAUCUCCACCUCCAGCCAGCCGUCAGGCCUUUUCUUUCGGCUCCUUUCUUGGCCCAGAAACACAGUGCGCUUACUACUAGUCUCUUCUUUCCCAAAAAGUCCUAUCUUGACCUCCGAGGGAUCGUCACGAUCAAAUCCUCUAGCCCUUUCACUUAACAUGAACACAAGAUAAGCUUUGUAGACAGUGGAGGGGGAAAGAAUCCGUGUAUCAAUUUUGCCACGGAUGUCAAGCCACCAAACAACUACAAGCGCAGCCACCUCCUCAAACCUGUUUCAUUUAACAUGACACAUACUAAUUAAUUGCCUAAUUACACACAUACACACAUAUUUCAAUCUAUAUAUAUACAUCGCUAAAACAAAUCCAACCGCAGAAUAAGCACGAUAUGGAAAUGCAUUCUCAACAUCUUAAAAGCGUAGCUGUUAGCUUAAUCAAACCAACAAAACGUAAGAUGAAUGAAGAAGUUUACAGACCUGGAGUUGGCAAGAGAAAUCCAUUUCCAGUACUCAGGAUUAUCACCCCAAAUAAUAAUAAGGUCCUUCGGCGAUAUCAUGUAACAUUUUUUCCCACUCCAUUUGUCCAGAGUAAAACUCUGCAUAUAUAGAACAUGGAAACUGAUUGAGAAAGGUUACAAAAACUUAUUCUGGCUAGUUUUUCAUGCAUUAGUUCCAGCAGGCACCAUCUCAAAGUCGAAAGUCAUAUUUUCAUAUUAAUAUAUGAUGCUGUAUUCAAUUGAGAAUUUGAGAGACUUUAAAUUGAUUUUUAUAGAGUUUAAUUGAUUUAUAGAGAUUUCAUAGAAAAUUUUGAUUCAAUUUCCUCGAAAUCUCAUGGAGAGAGAUUAGAUUUGUGGAUGCUUAUAAUAUACUACAAAAUCUCUCCAAUUCCCUUUAAUUCCUCAAAUUUCUCAAAUUAUUUAAUAUCAAUUUCUAAUUGAAUACAAUGUUAUAAACUUUUUUAAAAUCAUAAUUGAAUACACUCAGAUUUAUAAAGAUUUUAAUAAAUUAUCUUAAAAUUCUAAUUGAAUACCCUUGAAUUAAAAUACUGAUUGAUUACCUAGAUUCAUUAAAAGAAUUAAAAUCCCUCAAACUCUGAAUUGAAUACACGCCCCAAAACUUUAUCAGAAAGUAGAGAGAAACAAAUAAAAUCUUCAAAUAUAUUCAUGUUUCAAAUUUUGGGAGCUAUCCCUAAUCCCACCACAAAAGCGAAAAAGAAUGUAUAAAAUUACCAUUUUUCCGUCGUCAACGAGGACAGGGUUUUCGCAGAGAGUGAGGUAAAGCUUCUUCUUGGAGGAGGAGAAGGUGGAGGAGGAGGAGGAGGAGUGAGAUAGGAUGGAGGGGAUAUCAGGGGGAAGGAACUUGUCCCAAACAGCGUCGGAAUCAGCAGCCGACAUGAAACUCUUAGACACCGCCGAAAACCUGCACGCGUCUCGAGGCGUCGUUAAGGAGACGACGUUAGCUAUGCAUCCUUCGGGCAACUCUUGCAGAUCCAUGUGAACGUGAUGGUGAUCGUCAUCGAGUACCAUCGACACCGGCGUCCCGCAGCCCCCGCUGGUGAUUCCUUCUCCUCCUUCUCCUCCUGAUACACCGGCGUCGACUGUCUUCUUUUGCAUCUCUAGGUGAUCUCCGCCGCGGCAGAUUCUCUUCAUGUCUUCCGUCUGUCUGUCGUUGACUCUUGUGUCAUGUGUGUACUUUGUGGUACGUGUUCUGUUGUGUGCAAGAAACUUGUCAUAUUUGUAGGGACUAGUGAGGGAGGCCUUGGGCGUUAAGGCAUGGUUCAAUUUUUCCUCGAGUAGUUUUACUUCGUUUUCUAAUGUUGACAAACGCUACACUCUAGAAAACUAUUUAAAAUUUUUAUUUCUCUGUCACUUUCGACACGCUAAGCUUCUUAGAUUUAAAUUAGAAUAUUUCAAGGCAUAUGAGAAUUUACCGAAGAGGAAGAAAAACAAUCAUGCAUAUGAACUAUGGUGUGUGCAGUGGCGAAGCCAGAAUUUAUUGGAGGGAGGGGCGAACUUUCGGCAAUUUGUAAACCCAAUCUCAAUGAAGACAUCACUUCCGGCAUUUCCCUCUUCAUCAAAAUCACACUUGAAUAGAUAGCAAUAACGGCAAAAUGCGGUAUCUUUUACUAUACUAUACUCCAACCACUUAAAAUUAUCAAACCAACGGGUGACAAAACAUCGAUUAUUGCUAACUUUUCUGGGCAUGAUGUGAUCUUUAGGUUGACCAGGAUUGUUUUGGAGAUAAUGUCGGCGAAUUGUUUCACGAUAAUUAGGUGGAUAAUCAAGCAUUCAAUGUCUAUGUCCAGGGUUUACAUGAAGAUUAGACAGUAUUUCAUCCAACUCAGUGACCUAACUUUGUUGGGAACUACCCGGAAUACUCGAAGAAGAAAUAUUUGGAAUAUUCGAAGGAGGACUACUCGGAAUAUUCGAAGAAGGACUAGCCGGAAUAUUUGAAGGAGGAUUUAAGCUGUUUCUUAUAGUAUCGUUCCAUUGUUUAACUGUAUAUGAAAAAGAAAAGAAAAAAGUCUUAGACUCUUAAUUCUAGAGUAAGCUAUACUAUAGUCAAUAUGAGUACUAACUAAUUAAACCAGCAAUUCAAUUAAUCAAUACCAAUAUUCAUAUAAAUUAUUUAAUACACAAACAUUCAAUUAAUAGAUUAAUAUCAAUAAUCAAGAAUUCAAUUUUUACUCUAGACAAUAAUUUCAUUCAUCAAUAAUCAUUCAUAGGAUUCAUAUUUAUUUGCAAAAAUCAAUAAUCAAUAACUAUAUUAGUGUAUUACUCUAUGAUUCUAUAUUAAUUAACUAAAAUUUUGUAUUAAUUAAUCAAUUAGGGUUAGAGAUAAUAUAAAUUAGAAAGUUAAAAAAUUUACCUAAAAUUGAGAGAGAAGUGGAAAACCAACCCAUUAGGUUGGCUGCUGUGCUGAAGGUUUUCAAACAGUGGGGUGGUUUUCAAAAAGUGAAGGUCUACUUUGAAAAAUGGAAGGCACGGGGACAGUGGUCCCCUUUAAAAUUUUCUAUUUUUUUAAGCAAUUAACGAAACGGUGUCGUUUGUUUAAGGAUUUUUCUUUUUUUUUUAAAUACUAAAUGAAACGGCAUGAGGGAUUUAAAAAAAAAUUACAUAAGUUGCUGCUGUGCAGCAGCAGAAACCCAGAAACCGAUCCGCAGAUUACAGUGUAGCCAUUCAUUCCGACGAGACCAGAGGGGUGAAACCACGUUCAUGGGCUUAAUUUCCGGCAAGGGGAGGGGCGGCCGCCCUUCCCAGUCCCUCUGUAGCUUCGCAUGUGGGUGUGUGGUCAAUUCAUACUCUCUUUAACAACUAACUAACACUAUUUGUAUUUCAAAAAAAUUGGCCACCAAAUUGCUAUAUUACUGUUGACCCUAAAAACUAACAAGCCUACGUGGCGCGCAGGCCGAGUAAUCUAUGAGCUAACUACGUCAUUUGGUUGUGUGCGGGGCGUGCCAACUCGUCGGCCGAGCUCGGCUGAGGAGUAAAAUUUGAUGAUGUUGAGUUGGGUCGCGCUACUGACUUCUGCGUCUUGCAAUUGCGGCCGAGAAAGGAACAUGUGUCAGCCUCUUGGGUUCUUGAGCCUGAAGACAAGGCUGCUAUUCUUAUGAAGUUCACGGAUCGUCGUCGUCGGACUCGUUCACAUUGAUGGUAUUCGUCAGAGUAAACUCACGCCGAAUCGACACCAAAGUGUAAGGGCACAAAUACUCAAAGCGGAUAUAAGUCUUAAUGGUGAACGUGGUUCGGCCGUCGGAAUGCCGAACUCUAAAUCCCACUUGAGAAUAUCCAAUCAUAAAAUAACUCGGCGUGCAAUGCGCCGAGCUCGGUAAAUUGUAACACCUCACUUCGCCGAGAAGGCUAAUGAGAUGACUUCGACUAACAAGGAUUCGGAAAUCCUUCUCGACUGAGACUUGGAUACGUAACCAACUGUCCUCGUCGCAGUGCUAUUGAUACCAACGGAAGAUGCUGUGAGAACGACUGAUUCUACGGUGACAGAGCUAUCUUAUGCCGACUGAGGAUAUCACUGGUUGCCUUCACAGUGUUAUUGAUACCAACGAAAAAUGUGUCGGCGAAAAAGGAAAAGUAAAAAUCUCAAGGUUGUUGAGAGAGUUUGCGCAGGACAAUUGUGUGUUGAAUUGAAGGGGGUUUUAAUGGUGUUCGCAACCUUGUAUUUAUAGAUGCAGAUGUGUGGUGCGGCUUCACACUAGUGUAGGAUUUGAUUUCAAUUCACAUUCAUCAGCCAGGGUCCCAGUCAAACACUUCUCAAGGUAAGCAGCAGCCUAUCUUUUAGAUGUCAUCAUUAUCUUCUUAUUUUAUGCGAAUAAUUAACAUGUAUAAUGACCUCCACGGCUCUGGAACCAAAGCAUGCUGAUAAUUAACAUGCAAGCCCAGCCAUUCACUUCCACAAGACUCGGUAAAAAACCCGCCAAAAUCCAAGGAUACAUGCCAUUUGGUGGUCAUUUGCUUUCCACGUGGAGACCAUCAAAAUAAACCCUUUUUCAUGCCAUCUUCAUCCAUCCAAACCAUUUCCAACUUUUGCAUGGCAUUUAAUGAAAUUAUCACAUGCAUGCAUAAAAAAUCAUGGCUAGCACCCUGAUCCCAUCACAUCACUUUACUUUGACUACUCCACACGUCCACACACAUCCCAACUUAAUUUGAACUGUACCCCUUGCUUAGAGAUAUAAUUCGCAUCUGUCAAGAUAAUUAAAAGAUAAUUAUUAUGAUAAAAACCAUAAUAUUAUCUUUUAACAACAAAACUAUCUUCAAUUUUCCAUCCAACGUUUGAGAGCUAUGUUCACUCAACGGCCUUGAUUGCACAGGCCGAUGGUGUAAAUUAGGGCCCAAACAAUUACCCACACAAAUUAUUUUUUGGAAUUUAAUAUUUAACUUUAUUUUUCUUUCUCAAUAAAAUAAAAAGAUCGGUUGCAAAUAACUUUCACCACAACGUAAGAUUUUUAAAAUUAGUUUAGAAAUAUUGUUACUUUUUUUGUACAAACGAUAUUAAAGGAGAAGAUGGAGCAUCACGCUCAAGAGUGGAUACUCUCCAUUGACUUUUUUUUUGUUUUUUUUUUGUUUUGGGGGAUGAUCGAACUUUUAAUAUUGGGCCUAAAAGUAAAUUCAUUAAAGCCCAAAGAUAGCAAAGAUUAGCAAGCCCAAUAACAAGAAAAGCCCAACACAAAGAAUAACAAGCUUUAGCUGGUAGAUACUAAUGGUACAGGAAAAACAAGCUCUUAUCCUUUUACCAUUUAAGAACGGCAUUCAUGCAAAUAACUCAAGUAUUGAUACAAUCAGAUGUGAUUCCGGCAACGGAAGUUGAGAAUUCAAAAGCCGAUACUGCUCGUUGUCCCCUCACUAAGCAAAAAAAAAUAAAAAAUCAAUCGUCGUCAUCCUUUAACUCAAAAAUUACAAAAAAACAUUGAUUUGAGUCCUAGUAAAUACAAAUGGUAAUUCGAGCGUGACCGCAACAGAACAAACAUUCUGGCUUCGACAACCUUCUUCUCGCAAUAUUUGGAUCUGAUACACUGACUUUGUACAUCUCAGAAAAAAUGCAAAACCUGAAAAUUAAAGACUUCUGGUAAGCUAAAAGAAAAAAUAGACGGUGCAUGAGUGUUUAGAAAGAGAGAGCACUGAAGUUUGGACGAAAGUAAUUUAUGCGGCACGAACAUGACACGAUAAAUAGAGAAUAUGGACCGAAAGUUACUUCAAUGAAAUUGUACAAGGAAAAUGCAUAGACCACCGAAAUUGGUUCUGACAUCCAAAAAUUUUGAUUAGCCAUCUCCAAAGAAGCAACCGAUUCACUACUUUACAACAACAUUAACCAGCUUCAGAGCCAAAUCUCUGCACCAAGAAUUCAUCUAGCUGACCCCAUUUUGGAAUACUAGAUUCGCUCAUUUUAUCAGACGGCAAAGCUCGAAUGCAUCCAAGAAUGUGUGUGACAUCCCGGCGCAGCCUGGUGGACAAAGUGAAAAGUUAUGUUUAUUAAGGAGUCCUAACAAUUGUAUGCGCACAAGAGGGAAGGGAACUGAAAAGGUAGUACCUGUCCUUGGCUUGUGGUGUGCACAUCUGUAACCGUGAAAAUGCCUCUGAUAUUUGUGAAUGGAAGACCAAAAUCACUUGCCUGAAAAUUACAAACCACAGUAAUCAUUAACUGCCCCUUUCAUCAACCAAAUCACACUGAUUAAAAAUGUGGAGGGAAGAAGCAAGAACGUCAAGCUAACAAAUGGAAUUGGAUGAUCCCUUGAGUCUUUGACCAAGUUCCCAAGAAAAUUUCAAGUUAUAUGAACCUUACCUGAAAAUCGCUUGAACAUCGAUUAUUGAAAGUUUAGGGUUGUUUUAUAAAUACUCUGCUAUAAUAUCAUCUAUUAUUGAAAGUUACUAAAUACUCUGCAACAAUAUAUCAUCUAGAUGAAGUCUUAGGGGUCAAGUUUAGGGUUGUUUUAUAACGCAUCAAGGUAUAUGGUAUGCACCAGGUUUAUAGAAACGUUAAAUUCGUAGGAUUCUUGAUCAAAUACAAAUAGAAAAGAUCUUGACCUAGUCUCUGGGGAUGCAUAAAAUUAUAGAAUGGUUUUAAAUUUUGAGUAUCAGCCUAAUUAAUAAGAAUGGAUUUUGUUUCUCUUAGAAUUAACUAGAAAAUAAGCCUGCGCGUUGCGGCGGGAACCACUGUUUCAGGCAUAACUAUAUGAAUAAGACACAUUUGACCUGAAUAAAUUCAACACAAUCAUCAAUGAACAAAGGGACACAUGAGUGAAUGAGGUCGAUAAGAUAAGCAGCUUGGCUUUUACAUGCAUUCAACUGAACAUUGCACAAUUAGGAGCUCGGCUUUGAGAGGUGGGAAGGAACAAUCAUGUGGAAUUUACAGUUUAUAUGGUGAGACUCGCAUAAUCCACUCGAUCAAUGUCGUUCCUAUACAUUCUUCAUAAAUUAUAUGAAAAUUAUGGGGAAAAGAAAUUACAUGCAUACAUGAAAUAAAAUUGUAUCACAAUAGAAUUAUAUUAUGAACAAAAUAAGGAUAGAUUGUGUUUACCUAGUGUUUUUCUGCUGGGAAAGAAGUCUGGUUUUGCAUUAGUUGGAAAGGACCUUUUUUCUGGCAAUUUUAUAGGAUGUCAUCAAUUUUUUGCGCGUUUGUCUCUGUGAAAUGCACAUUAGAUAAGAGUUUGAUUAAACACAUGAAAAAAAUAUUGUUUAGUAUGGUGUAAACACAAAAUUACACGUGUAUCAGUUGGGAUAGCAAAAGCUUUACAAAUGAGAUUGCAAUUGAAGGUUAAACCCCUCAAUCGUCGUAUGCAUUCACAGAAUGUAAACUGAUUAGUAUGUUUAAGCAGUGAUGAUGAUACUUUUGGUCUAGCAUAGUUAGCAAUAUGUGUAGUACAUGUAUUACCCUAAUUGUAUCUUAAUUAUUAAUCAUUAUAAGACUAAAAUCUCUCCUGAAGCUUGUAAAGAAGCUUUGAGUUUAAAUUCAUUUUCCUACUUUGAACAAAACUUUACCCAGAUACCUCAAAUAAUUGGAAUCAUACAAAAACCAAGCAUCCUAGUAGCUAGCUAGUACAUGAAAUCGUGGUUUCACUGAUUAUAUUAAAAAUAUUAAGAAACUUCUUAGAUACGAAAAAACACAAAUAAAGUUUGAAAAAUCACUUACUGAAUGCCCAAGAUAGAGAUCCUUAUUUCCAGCAACCUUUCCAAUCCUAGCUAGCCAUCUUCCAUGUUGAUGACGUCUGCUACACAGAGAAGAAACAAAACAAAGAGACUUUAGAGAUUUUUAAUUGGUAUAUAUAUUAUUUCUCAUCGAUAUUUUAUCUAAAUUAUUAUAUAAAAUUAUGAAUAGCUAAUAAGACCUUGUAAUUCUUCUGUACAUUGAAGCCCCUCUUGAGAAUCCACUGCUUUUCCUGUAAAGACCACAUUAUGUUAGUAAUCGAUUAGCAUUUAAACGCUGUUGUAUAUAUAAAUCUACCGAAUGCAUGCUUAGUAGCAUGAACUAAAACAACAUGGUUUGACAGUUAAAAUGGUCAGCCAAAUUAUAUGUGAAAAAAUGCUUACCCAAGUAAACUGAAGAUUCAUCAUUUGAUUGUAAUUCCCCAGCUAAUCAAAGAAAAACCAAAAAAUAAAAAAUAAAAUCAGCAUAUAGUAUGGAAAAUAGUCAGAACAAAAGCAGAAUUUGACUGGAAAAUAGAAAUCUGCCUCUUUAGAAUAUCUUUAAACGAAGAACGUGCAACAAACCUACUUACUUUUAAUUUCAAACACACACUGAGAUUUAAAAGAUAUCGAAUAGAAGAUAUUAUUAAGAUGGAAAACGUAUUCCAUAAUGCAUGGGGAAACCGUAAAUGUAACAAAAACUGUCAUGGUGGAAUGGAGUAAAUAUGUGAAAGUGCAACAAAGGGUACGUCUCAGAAGGGUUUAACUGAUGACCAGUCAUUUAUACUUGAUAAUGUUCUGAAUUGUCAGCUGGACAAAGCUGUUAAAAUGUGUUUUGGAAUAAGUCCUCUCACAGCAUGUUUAUCUAUGCUAUUAUUUUUUUAACUUCCUUUUAUUCAGAAUUAUGUUUCAGUGUACUUUUGAUGGCAUGAAGAUUUUUGACAGCACACCAACUUAAGACGUAACAAUCAAAGAUAGCUAGAUUUAAUAGAUUUAAUAUAUUCUGGCAUGAAGAUUCCUGUUAUUGUGGUUGUAUAUAUUCAAAGGACGUUAUAAUUAGAUAGCUAGAUUUAAUCCCAAUGGGCAAAAAAAAUACAUGUAAGAACAGGUAUGAAACCAGUGUUAAUUAAUAUACCUCAAAAGUCAAAGGGCCAGUCUGAGAUUUCAAACAUGGAGAUUUACUUCAUUUUAAAAAACUGCUAAAUACAUUGGGAACUGUUAAAAACAUGAACUACAAAUCUGUAAAAAAAAAAGGCUUCCAGAUAAGUUUAAACUAUCAACUCUCAAGUUAGCAUUGUUACUGUUUUUGAGUUGGAUGUUGGCUUCCUAACAUGGUAUUAAAAGGGAUUUAUAAGUAUGUGCAUUGUUAAAUCACCCAACACCAUGUGUUAACCAAGUAAUUUAUAGCUAAAGAGCAAGAUAUGCCACACAAAACCUGUAUUUAGAUGCCAAUCACUAAAAGCUAAUAAAAAUUCCUAAUCUAACCAUCACUAUACUAACAGUUUGGAGAAGGAUCAGAACUUCUUGUCCAAAUUUGUGUUCAUUUUAUUUCAAUUGUCCAUCAGAGCUUAAGAAGAAUGAUUAAAUAAAGACAAUGGCAUGCCAAAGAAAAAAUACCCGCCUUUUAAACUUCAGUAAUGCAUAGUCUUGUUGUGGUUUUUGUUUUUUCUAAAGACCAGACUAAGAGAAUGGUCAACACCAACAUCCUAUGUGUUCAGAUAAUCGCGAAGACUAAAAUAUAAGCUCACAAAUAUAAUCCUAACACGAUCAGAUCAUUGCCAACAAAAAAUAUCCAUUAUUAAAAACAUAAGUGCAUUGAGAAGGUGUAAAAAAGAGUAAUGACCAUAAAACUAAUGAUUUCAUUCAUCAGUCACAUAGAGACAAAUUUGUUUGUGGGCUUCACAUUGAGGGAUAAAGGGACUUAUCAAAAUAGAUCCCACUAACUUCCCUAUUUAAAAACAUAACAUGAUUUAGGUGAUUAAAACUCAUUUGAACAAUCAGCAAAACUUGAGUGAAAACAAUUAACUAAUUAACCACUUGCACCCUGCUCACAGUGAAAAGUAAUUUCAAAUUAACAGCCAUAUGAAUCCAGAUUCAUUAACAUGGAUGAUUGGCUGAUAAGAAUCCAGGGCACAGAUGAAACCUUGCUAAACUUGGCAUUUGGUAAUUCAAACAAUUAAAUGAAAGAACAAAACUAUGUCCAAUCAUUACCAAACAACCACUUUUGCCAUAAUUUUCUUCUUUCAUUCAAAUGGUUGAAUGACCAAAUGGCUAGUUUGCCACGGUUUCAUCUGUGCCCUAGAUUCUUGUAAAACAUGAAGUUUAAAGAAACAUGAAGCUUUAAAGUAACAGAAGCAUAAAUGAAAAACCUUGGAAUAAACUGAACUUAAACGUAAAAUGGCAAUUGGGUUAACAAAUCUUUGGAAUUAAACUAAAUCACAAAAUGAAAAGGACCUCCAAUAAAUUGACAUUUUAUAUUUUUGGCUGGCAAAAAAAUAUGUAUCUUUGCUGGAAUAUGUAAAUAAAAAUGCAAAUUGACAAAAACAUUGAAAUUGAAAUGCACAAAAGCAAAGCAAAGCAAAUUAGAAAACCUUAAACCAAAUGACAGCCUAGAAAUGGAACUGUUUUUAAUCAUUUAGGUUCAAAUGAUUGGCUGGAGAAAGGGCCAUUCUUUGAAUUUACAUGAUAAAAAACAGAACAUAAUUUAGGGGUCCAAAUACUGAAACUGAGAAAAAAAAAAUUACAAAAAAAAAUUGAGAAAAACAAUUAAAUUGAAAUAACAAUGAUACUCCCAAAAAAAAUUGGCAACCUUAGCGUAUUAGAUACCCCCAAAAACAAAAAUAACAAAGACCAAUUAAAGAAGGAGUUCAAAAUUUUAGAAUAGGCAGAUCAAACGUCUAGAUGCAUUUGGCUGUUCCCAUCUAAAAUUUUCAAACUGAAAAAAAACACACUAAAACCAGUUACACAACUGUAGAGCACAAUUUUUAAGGGUGCCACUGCAAUUGAAAUAACUUCUAGAUACAAUGAGAGAAAAAUAAAUUACAGUAAUUUGACAUGAGAAAAGAAACCACAUGAUUUGAAAUAACCCAUUGGUAAGCUAAGUUAUAAAAUGGUAAAAGCGAUGAUAUAUACCUAACACCCUGCUUGCUGUGAGCUAUAACAUCCAAGUUCCACUAUGUAACCCUCUGCAUAGCUGUGUAACCUCUGGUAGCGAAACCCCUGAGAAGGUUAAGAGCUCUGAUCAGAGAAGGCAAACCAAAAUCAUCUAGUUAGACAACCGCGCACACACACAGAGACACACAUGCCUUUCACAGAAUGGGAAUCCAGGUAAAACAAAAAAACGCAAAAAAUCAUUAAUAGUUGCAUUUAGCUUAAGUGCUUGAUAAUGUUCUGAAUUAUCAGCUGGAUAAAGCUGUUAAAAUGUGUUUUGGAAUCGGUCCUCUCACAGCAUGUUUAUCUACGCUAUUCUUGUUUAACUUCCUUUUAUUUAGAAUUAUGUUUUAGUGUACUUUUGAUGGUAUGAAGAUUUUUUCAAGCACACCAACUUAAGACGUAACAAUCACGCAUUCUAGUGUUAUUGUGGUCGUAUAUAUUCAAAGGACGUUAUAAUUAGAUAGCUAGAUUUAAUCCCAAUGUGCAAAAAAAAACAUGUAAGAACAGCCAUGAAACCAGUGUUAAUUAAUAUACCUAAAAAGUCAAAGGGCCAGUCUGAGAUUUCAAACAUGGAGAUUUACUUCAUUUUAAAAACUGCUAAAUACAUUGGUAACUGUUAAAAGCAUGAACUACAAAUAUGUAAAGAAAAAAGGCUUGCAAAUAAGUUUAAACGAUCAACUCUCAACUUAGCAUUGUUACUGUUUUUAAGUUGGAUGUUGGCUUCCUAACAUGGUAUUAAAAGGGAUUUAUAAGUGUGUGCAUUGUUAAAUCACCCAACACCAUGUGUUAAUCAAGUAAUUUAUAGCUAAAGAGCAAGAUAUGCCACACAAAACCUGUAUUUAGAUGCCAAUCACUAAAAGCUAAUAAAAAUUCCUAAUCUAACUAUCACUAUACUAACAGUUUGGAGAAGGAUCAGAACUUCUUGUCCAAAUUUGUGUUCAUUUUAUUUGAAUUGUCCAUCAGAGCUUAAGUGAAAGAAUGAUUAAAUAAACACAAUGGCAUGCCAAAGAAAAUAUACCCGCCUUUUAAACUUCAGUAAUGCAUAGUCUUGUUGUGGUUUUUGUUUUUUCUAAAGACCAGACUAAUAGAAUGGUCAACACAAACAUCCUAUCUAAUCAGAUCAUCGCAAAGACUAAAAUAUAAGCUCACAAAUAUAAUCCUAACACAAUCAGAUCACUGCCAACAAAAAAUAUCCUUUAUUAAAAACAUAAGUGCAUUGAGAAGGUGUAAAAAAGAGUAAUGACCAUAAAACUAAUGAUUUCAUUCAUCAGUCACAGAGACAAAUUGGUUUGUGGGCUUCACAUUGAGGGAUAAAGGGACUUAUCAAAAUAGAUCCCACUAACUUCCCUAUUUAAGAACAUAACAUGAUUUAGGUGAUUAAAACUCAUUUGAACAAUCAUGCAAAGUUGAGUGAAAACAAUUAACUAAUUAACCACUUACACCCUGCUCACAGUGAAAAGCAAUUUCGAAUAAACAGCCAUAUGAAUCCAGAUUCAUUAACAUGGAUGAUUGGCUGAUAAGAAUCCAGGGCACAGAUGAAACCUUGCUAAACUUGGCAUUUGGUAAUUCAAACAAUUAAAUGAAAGAACAAAAUUAUGUCCAAUCAUUCCCAAACAACCACUUUUGCCAUAAUUUUCUUCUUUCAUUCAAUUGUUUCAAUGACCAAAUGGCUAGUUUGCCACGGUUUCAUAUGUGCCCUAGAUUCUUGUAAAACAUGAAGUUUAAAGAAACAUGAAGCUUUAAAGUAACAGAAGCAUAAAUGAAGUAAAAUGGCAAUUGGGUUAACAAAUCUUGGAAUUAAAGUAAAUCACAAAAUGAAAAGCACCUCCAAUAAAUUGACAUUUAUAUUUUUGGCUGGCAAAAAAAUAUGUAUCUUUGAUGGAAUAUGCAAAUAAAAAUGCAAAUUGACAAAAACAUUGAAAUUGAAAUGCACAGAGGCAAAGCAAAUUAGAAAACCUUAAACCAAAUGACAGCCUAGAAAUGGAAGCAAAUGUGAACUGUUUUUAAUCAUUUAGGUUCAAAUGAUUGGCUGGAGAAAGGGCCAUUCUUUGAAUUUACUUGAUAAAAAACAGAACAUAAUUUAGGUGUUCAAAUAGCCGAAAUUGAGAAAAACAAAUUACAAAAAAAAUUGAGAAAAACAAUUAAAUUGAAAUGCACAGAACAAAACAAAUUGAGAAAAACUCUUAAAUUUCUUUAUGCACAGAAGCAAAGCCAAGCAGAAAAGCUUAAAACCAAAUCACAGCCUGGAAAUGUCAGGGCUUCAAAGCAUAGACAGUCUUAAUCAAAUCUAAUCAAACAAAAUUAAAGCUAAUUAAAAGAUGACUACAUUCAAACAUUUCCCGAACGAAAGGGCAGGGGAAGGCAGAUUAUAGCACCGCGAACGAACAUACGAAGCGAGAGGCAACAAAGGUUAAUCUCACAUGUUAAAAAAUUCUAAAAUCGCACUGUCUGAAACGGAAAGCAUGGGGAUACAACGUAUCGAAGUUUAGGACAUACCAAAGCCUUGAUCAAAAGGUAAGUCUCAAAACAUCAAUUUUCACAUCGUCCCCUACAGUUGACCAAAGAUAAACACACAAAUUUCCAAACAAAGCAAAGAAAUCAAAAUUUUGUAAUCAAAACUAACUAACGAAUCAUAUCGAGACAUCUUUGCUUGGUGUGCGGCAAUGCUCUAACCCACUAUGGGUUUUAAAUUAUUCUAUCCAGUUACAGUGAUGGGGUUUCACGGCCAGUUGACAACAAACAGAAAAACCAAAUUUAAUAAAAAGGUUCAUCCAAGAAUAGAAAAUGUGAAAAAAAUAAGGGGAAAAAAGGAGAACCCCAAACUAUAUACCUGAAACAGAGCCACAGUGAAAAGAACAGCACAGAAGCAACCAAAAAUGUGCAACCAUCUUUCUAAUAAAACAAACUCCAAUUGUUUAACCAUCUUCAAUGAAAGGCCAACUUUAAUUUUUCAUUUCCCCAAUUAAACCGCUAAACUCACAGAACCUGGGUUUUAAACCAACCUAAGCACAUAUUGAAACCAUUAUGCAAAAACAGCAAGCAAUGCAAACCAUUAAGUGUAUAUGCAAUUUAUAUAUGCAAUACCUACUUGCACAUUAUUAUGAAUGUCCAUUGCGUGGUUUAGUUCAAAUCCUCUAGCCUCAUACACAAACCAUAAGAGCCAUUCGGAAACCAAACCCCCCCCCCUUUUGCAAUUUAGCUCACAAACCCAAUUGAAUCAAAACAAAUUCAAUCAGGAAACAGAAAGUUAAGAACAGCCUUAAUUAACUGAGUAUACCAAAGAAUCAAAUUAAACACAAAUUCUUAAAGUUUGGCAUCCCAAUAAUCAAAUAAGGAAAAACGUGUGUACUGUGUGUGUGAGUGCAUGUGUUGCAUAAGUGUGUAAGUGUAUAUUGUAUUGCUGAGGAAAAACAACAAAAUCUUCCAAGUGAUAAAAAAUGGCAUAAGCGUGUGAGUAUAUAUUGUAUGUGUUGUGUGUGUAUAAGUACAUGACAGUGUUUGUGUGACAUUGCAUGUGAGUGUACUGUGUAUGUAUAUAAAAUGUGUAAGUGUAGGUAAGUGUGUGUACUCUGUGUGGAUAAGUGUAUGUGAUGUGUGUGAGUGUAUAUUGUAUGCGUAUGCAGUCUGUGUGUGUAUAAAAAGUUACAGUAGGGUAAGGCAUAUACCAAAAUCCCGACAUCGUCCUCUCGCUCUCUCUCUCUCUCUCAAACAGUUCCACUCGGUUUCCAACUCAAUGAAAUGCAAAGGAAAGCUGAAUCUACAUGCAGUAGCUAAAGGUUCAUCCAUAUUCAUUUUUUACACCUUCAUUCACACAACAUGAGUUUCAAACCAACCUAAGCACAGAUUCAAACCAUUAUGCAAAAACAGCAACCAAUGCAAACCAUUAAGCACAUAUUCAAACCUGAGUUUCAAACCAAAUUAUAUAGUGCUACCUAACAAUAAACAUAAAAUUACAUAUUCAAAUUGAUUCGACAGUUUUUAAAGGUUGAAAAAAUGAACCAACAGACAUUUGUUUGAAUAUCAAACUCAUUGUGGCUACCAACGCAACAACUACACAUUGAUGCUGCAUCCAGUACAUGCACACAAAGGUAGGGAAAGUCAUAACUGGAUCAAACAUAAAAGACACAUUUAAAGAAGAAGCUCAAGAAAACAUUUUAUUGAUGAAGAUUCAAGAAGGAAUAUGGUCAAGAACGAAACUAUGAGGAAUAUCAAAUACCUCACAGGGAUACAAAACUACUUGAAUGUACUCCAACGAAUGUAAAUCCAGCAUUCUCUAAAAACUAUCUCCAUCCUACAUCAUCAUCUACCCUUAAGCACAACCACUAAAAUUGUAAAAGACCUGAAAACCAUGAUCUACACCACAAAUAAUACUACUAAUCCAUAAACCAAUCAGUCAUCAAGCAUAUUCUUUUAUCUUUUCCUAAUUUGAUUGUAUAUUGUAUUUAUUUGCAAUGCUCCAAAACAAUGAAAUGCACAUGAUUUCUCUUUUCCUCCUAAUCUGCAAAAACAAAUCAGUAGCCAAUCCCAGUUUAAAUUAACAGAAAGGGAAAGGAAAAAAAAAAAAAAGACAACUUGAAUUCAAAAGAUUCUACAUGAUGUACCACACCACCAUUUAGAUUCACCAUUUCUCACUUUCACCAUUUAACGUAUUUAGAAAGGUUAUAAGGGUGAUUUGCCAUCUAAGAGUCACUUGGGAGUUGGGAGCAAAGUUAUAAGUCGCAAGCUCUUGAAAUGCAGUAAUGAAUUUGGAUAAUAUUGGACCUAGAAGAAAAUAUCACAUGCACAGCAAGCUACAGCAACAAUUAAAAAAAAGAGAUCUUAAGCAAAAACCAUGAAUCCAACUCAAAAAUGAAAUCUUGCAAAUAACAUCUCAAACCAUAACCCAAAUCAAAUGCACCAAAUCUCACAUCAAAAAAUAAAUUAUACAAAUUGACAUAUUGGUAGAAACCCAACAGAGAUUUUAGCGAGAGAGAGAGGGCGAGGGGGAGAGGGCGAGAGAGAGUACCAAAGGGAGUGAGAUAUGGUUGUAACUGGAAAGCAAAAAUAAAUUAUAUAAAUUGACUCUAACAUUUCUUGACUCUUAACAAAUUGAUACAUAAUAACAGUUGUUUGGGAUAUAGAUAUGGGUGUACCUGGAAAGAUUAAAAUUCACCAUGCAUGCCGUAUUUCUUGACUUUAGUUCUCCCAUCGUGAUAUACCUGAUAAUCAGAAUGCAUUUUGGCAACAUUGUUAUAAAUAAGAUGUUGAUCAUGAUGAAUUAUAACCCUACUCCGUGUUAUGUACUUGGAAUUGAAGAGCAUUAUGUAAAAGAAAAAAAUAAAAUAAAAUAAAAUAAAAAAGCACAUAUCUAUCAUGAUCUCUGCAUACCUGCUGCUGUCUUUAUCGAAGUGUUGGAAGGUAGUGUAGAGAUGUUCUCUAUCCAUCCAGUUCAAGUGCAUUGUUGCUGCGAUGAACUCAUCAUAGUCUAUGGUUCAGUUGCCAUCAGCAUCAGCCUAAUGAAAAGACAUUCAUUAGAACUAAUGUACGUAAGCACCAAAGAAAUACAGAGAGAGAGAAGGAACCUGCUCGUAAUGGCAGAGAAGGGUUGAAUGGUGUUUCCUCAGCACAAACGAAGCACUUGUUGUGUUGGGGAGAACAUGAAAACACCUCCCACUUCCCUCCAUUUCUUCUCUGCAACUAUCUACACACACACACACACACAUAUAUAAUUAAGUACAUAUGAUUUUCUUUUAUCUUUCAUUUUAAAAAUUGAAAAAUUAAUAAUUCAUAUUUAAUUUAGUGAAAUGAAGAACUACAGAUAAAAUAGAUAGCCCAACCUUCUCAAAGCCACCCCUCCUUGUUGCCUCCACAUGUAAACGCUCCCCUCUUGAAUUCACAAAUAUAAACAGCAAUUUAUAUGGAAUCAAGGACCCAUACUUUAUAAUUACACUAAAAGUUUUAACACCUUUAAAUACUCUAUACAAAAAUAAAUAAUAAAUCUCAGAAAUACAUAUCAGUCCAAGGUCUUAAGUUCUCAGAGUGGGGAAUUAGUGAUUAGAACAGUUAAUUAUCUGCUCCUUUUUGGGUAUGAACUAAUUAGCACAGUAGCCAUAAAAAUACCAAACAAAAGCUCAAUAAUUUAUGCAAUUUGGUCAAAAUUUAUACAAUUUCCAGCAAAACCCAAGACUCAAUAAUACAAAAGGAACCCAAUAAAUGAUUGAAGCAAUAUUAUACACAAUUUACGCAAGUCCAAAGAAACCCAUUUGAUCAAACUUACUGAAUAUGGAAAAAAAAAAUUACAAUCGAAGUAUGGAUUAAUAAUUACCUCAAGAGCUAACGGAGCCAAAGCCAAACCAAAGCCAAACCCUAGAGAUUCGAAGGGCAGAGACAAUCACAGAGGCAGGAAAAGACGUUCUUCUUUCCCACUGCUGCUGCUGCCACCUUCUCUCUCUAAAAACCAAUUGGAAAUUGUUUAGAGAGAGACAGAGAGGGCGAUGAUGAUGAUUGGGAAAGAAGUAUGAAAAACUAAAAUACAUGCAAGCUUGAAUUCGAGUCCCAAAUUGAAAACAGAAAUGAGGAGUGUAAGGGUGGUUUACCGAGGUCGGGAGCGGUGAGUCUCGUAAGAGAAGCCGAUGAACAGUGGCAGGAGCCACUGCACAGUGAAAGGCCUUCGCUUGUGUGUCCUGAGCAGAACGGAGUGAGUGGUAGUGGUUCUGUGGUGAUGUUUUGCCGGAAAAUGGAAGCGUUGGUGCGCCAGUAUGUCCUUGAUUAUAUAUCAGAAUUCAUAAACAAAGUCAGAGGAAAAUUGAUGAUUAUUGAGCCAGUAUUGAAUAAUGGGUAUAAGAUUGAAACUUUUGGAUGCUCAGCCUUGUUUCCAGAUGAAAAUAAGCAUCCCAAAAAACGAAACAAAUCAACUUAACAUAAAAGUUUGUGUUACCCACCUCAAAUCGGCCGGAGAACUCACACUGGAAUUUCUAUAUACCUUCCAAUUUUUCCGUAACCUUUACCAUCUCAGAAUUUCUGAAUAGAACAUGGAUUCUACAACAUUAGAUAAAACUAUCUAUACUACACAUGUGCAGAUCAAUUCCAGAUAAAUUAAGAUAAAAUCAAGGUAUGAAAUAUAUCAAUUUAGGGUUGGAAAAUGACCUUCAAAUUUCAGUGGAGAGAAAGUGAGCGAGAGUUUAAGAGGUGUACCUGUAGUGAGUGAGUGAGUGAGUGGGCGAGCGAUGUUGCGACUGUGAGAGGCUGAGAAGAACACGAAGAUGGGAUCGAAGAAGAUCAAGGAUCUGCAGCAAUGGCGCUGAGAUCCCCACUCUUCCCUUUCCUUCUCUCUCUGUCGCUCUGCCUCUGUCUCCCUCUCUCCCUCUCCUAUCUCUAUCUCUAUCUCCAUCAGCAUGGCCUCCCAAUUGCGAAACCCUCAGCAAGCGAUCCUUACUCCUCCCACUCUCCCUUUCGCGCUGUCUCCCUCUCCCUCCCUGUCUCUCUUCUCUCUCUGCUCGCUCGCUCUCUCUCCCGACGGCAUGCUCUCACCGAGUCCCACUGCAGCUUAGAAAGAAAGGAAAUGAAAGUCUCUAACCCACCCAACCCGUUCGAAACCCUACAGACUAAAAUGACCAUCGCACCCCUGCCUUUCCGCGAUCAUCAACACCAGAGAGAGUCAGUGGCAGCCUCGUAAAUAAAGUGAAAUUCGGGUCCAAAUACUAUUCAUUUGUACAGUGCAAUUGAAAAGCCUUCUUUAGACUAAAGUAAUACAUGAUUCAGCCUAUAUUCGAUGCACAUAUAAAAGGUUAUUUUUUCAAAAGACCUAUUUGUUUAUUUGCCCUCCUAACUUGUAUAUAGCUACUUAUAUCUAUCAUGAAUUUUAAUUUAGCUGAUUAUCCCUAAACUUUUAUAAAUGGAUUUUGAAAUUUCUCAUAUGAUCUUCCAUCCAUCUUGAUCACGCGAACAUCACAUGACAAGUAUAGGACGGGGAAAAGAUAAUUUUGUUUUGGUAAAUUCGGCGCAAAGUCAGUACUUUGCAGCUGCGAGUUGGAUUCCUAUAGCUAAUUCAAACAAAAAGUAUACGGAGUCAACUAGGUGAAGAGAAGAAGAAAAAUACAAUCUACCAUCCACAUUAGGGUAAUAUUACUUUGUUGUGCACCAUGAACUUGGCCGAGAAGAGAAUGCAACCAUUCCUAGGUAAAAAAAACUAUACAUGUGAUAACAGAUCUCCCGAUCUAUCCAUCCAUCAAAUAAGUUCAUAACGUUUUACAACGAGUAUUCAAAGGUGAAAGGAAUCAUUAAAUAAUUAUUCAAGAGAAUUGUAACCACCGUUGAUGAUCAGGGUUUAGCCACUUAUAAUGUCAAAGUAGAAAGUUUUGGGCAAGUUAAACUUCCUACGCUCUUUUGGGCCUGACUUCAAUCCCCUGAACAAUAAGGCCUCUCUUCAUUCUAUGAAGGUCAACAUCCAUACAUGUCAUCUCCAUUAACCCCCCAUCUUCUUCUCCUGGACAGAAAAACUCUCCAAUCUCCACCUCCAGCCAGCCGUCGGGCCUUUUCUUUGGAUAUUGAGUUUCAUCGAUUUCCAUGGGUCUCCCGGUAAUGUUCUGUCUCCCCAGAAACACAAUGCGCUUACUACUAGUCUCUUCUUCCCCAAAAAGUCCUACCUUGACCUCCAAGGGAUCGUCACGAUCAAAUCCUCUAGCCCCUUCACUUAACAUGAACACAAGAUAAGCUUUGUAGACAGUGGAGGGGGAAAGAAUCCGUGUAUCAAUUUUGCCACGGAUCUCAAGCCACCAAACAACUACAAGCGCAGCCACCUCCUCAAACCUGUUUCAUUUAACAUGACAUAUACUAAUUAAUUGCCUAAUUACACACAUACACAAAUAUUUCAAUCUAUAUAUAUACAUCGCUAAAACAAAUCCAACCGCAGAAUAAGCACGAUAUGGAAACGCUUUCUCAACAUCUUAAAAGCGUAGCUGUUAGCUUAAUCAAACCAACAAAACGUAAGAUGAAUGAAGAAGUUUACAGACCUGGAGUUGGCAAGAGAAAUCCAUUUCCAGUACUCAGGAGUAUCACCCCAAAUAAUCAUAAGGUCCUUCGGCGAUAUCAUGUAACAUUUUUUCCCACUCCAUUUGUCCAGAGUAAAACUCUGCAUAUAUAGAUCAUAGAAACAGAUUGGAAAAGGUUACAAAAACUUAUUCCGGCUAGUUUUUCAUGCAUUAGUUCCAGAAGGCACGAUCUCAAAGUCUAAAGUCAUAUUUUCAUAUUAAUAUACGAAGGUGUAUUCAAUUGAGAAUUUGAGACUUUAAUGGAUUUAUAAAUCCAUAGAUUUUUAUGGAAUUUAAUUGAUUUAUAGAGAUUCCAUAAAAAAUAUUUGAUUCAAUUUCCUCGAAAUCUCAUGGGAAGAGGUUAGAUUUGUGGAUGCUUAAAAUACACUACAAAAUCUCUUCAAUUCCCUCUAAUUCCUCAACCUUAUCAAAUUCUUUAACACUACUACAAAAGGGGGCUAUAGUGUCGGAGGGUGGUGUCGCUUUAAUCUAAUAUAGUGGCGGAUUAGGCAGUUGCGACACUAACUGAACAUGACGUCGGAUUUACUGUCGCUUAUAAGCGUUAUUAAAUGUUUAUGUCGCUUUUAAACCGACGUAAACAUAUAUUUUAAUAAUUUUUAAAUACUAGUGUCGCUUUUAAACCGCCGACGUAAACAUUAUUUUAAUAAUUUUUAAAUACUAGUGUCGCUUUUAAGCGACAUAAAGUGUGUGUAUAUAUAUAUUAAAUAUAUAUAUAUAUUUAAAUUAAAUUUUAUAUUCCCUAAAAAACUAUAAUAAUUAUAUAAUAUAUAUAUUAAAUUAAAUUUUAAAAAAUUGGUGGAUCAUUGGAUUGGCUUAAAUAUACAUACGAUUCAAUUUCUUAAGUGUUAUACAUACAAAAUAAAUAAAUUUAAAUCUACUUAAUAUAUAUAUAUAUAUAUAUACACACACACCAUUGAACUUGAUUGGAUACGAAUUCUAUGAAACUAAUUUCGACAGUUAUAAACGAAAAAUCACGAUUUAACGGUUAUUUUAACUCCGAUUUUGAUGAUUUUUUACAGCUACACUCCUUGACCCUAUAUGAAUACAAUGAAUGGAUUCGAUCUUCAAAUUAAAAUAUUUACACAAGUGGAUACCACAAAAUCUUAUGUUAUACUUAAUGAAAGUAUAAAUAAACUCUAAGUGUUAGUCAAUCUAUUGUUUUGAUGGGAUACAAAUUCUCCGAAACUAAUUUCAACGAUCCCAACCGUCAAACUUGUUUGCAUAUGCUUCGAGAUCACAUCAGCAAAAAAUCACAAAAAACAAACAUUCAGAUAUCAAGUAACGGGACAAAGCUUUUCGACGGUUAUAAACGAAAAAUCACGAUUUAACGGUUAUUUUAACUCCGAUUUUGAUGAUUUUUUACAGCUACAUUCCUUGACCCUAUAUGAAUACAAUGAAUGAAUUCGAUCUUCAAUUUAAAAUAUUUACACAAGUGGAUACCACAAAAUCUUAUGUUAUACUUAAUGAAAGUAUAAAUAAACUCUAAGUGUUAGUCAAUCUAUUGUUUUGAUGGGAUACGAAUUUCUCCGAAACUAAUUUCAAACGAUCCCAACCGUCAAACUUGUUUGCAUAUGCUUCGAGAUCACAAUCAGCAAAAAAAUCACAAAAAACAAACAUUCAGAGAAUCAAGUAACGGGACAAAGCUUUUCGACGGUUAUAAACGAAAAAUCACGAUUUAACGGUUAUUUUAACUCCGAUUUUGAUGAUUUUUUACAGCUACAUUCCUUGACCCUAUAUGAAUACAAUGAAUGAAUUCGAUCUUCAAUUUAAAAUAUUUACAUAAGUGGAUACCACAAAAUCUUAUGUUAUACUUAAUGAAAGUAUAAAUAAACUCUAAGUGUUAGUCAAUCAAUUGUUUUGAUGGGAUACGAGUUCUCCGAAACUAAUUUCAACGAUCCCAACCGUCAAACUUGUUUGCAUAUGCUUCGAGAUCACAUCAGCAAAAAAUCACAAAAAACAAACAUUCAGAGAUCAAGUAACGGGACAAAGCUUUUCGACGGUUAUAAACGAAAAAUCACGAUUUAACGGUUAUUUUAACUCCGAUUUUGAUGAUUUUUUACAGCUACACUCAUUGACCCUAUAUGAAUAUAAUGAAUGAAUUCGAUCUUCAAAUUAAAAUAUUCACACAAGUGGAUACCACAAAAUCUUAUGUUAUACUUAAUGAAAGUAUAUAUAUAUUUAUUAAGUAGAUUUAAAUUUAUUUAUUUUGUAUGUAUAACACUUAAAGAAAUUGAAUGGUAUGUAUAUUUAAACUGAUCCAAUGGUCACCAAUUUUUAAAAUUUAAUUUAAUAUAUAUAUAUAUAUAUAAUUAUUAUAGUUUUUAGGGGUAUAAAAUUGUUACAUUAAUAUAUAUAAUUAUUAUAGUAUUUGUUAGGGUUAUAAAAUUAAUAUAUAUAAAAUUAUAGUAUUUGAAAUAUUAGGCGGGAAAUUUCCCGCUUGUUUGAAUGGAUGGAGAGACUUAGUGUCGGUUUUAACCGACGCUAGUGUCAUUAAAGCGACGCUAUGUGAAUUUCAAAAAGUGUGUCAGAAGUUUGGCGUCGGUUAAAAGCGACGCUAGUUUCAUUAAAGCGACGCAAGUUUCAUUAAAGCGACGCUAUGUGAAUUUCAAAAAGUGUCAGAAGUUUGUGUCGGUUUAAAGCGACGCUAGUUUCAUUAAAGCGACGCGAGUUUCAUUAAAGCGACGCUAUGUGAAUUUCAAAAAAUGUGUCAGACGUUUGCGUCGGUUUUAACGGACGCAAACUAAGUACCCAUAUUUAAACCCCUCUCUUUCCCAUUUCAACCGUGCUUUCAUUUCUCCCCCAAUUUCAGACUUUCUUCUUCUCCUUCCCCAUUUCAUCUGUGCGUCCCCUUCUUCCUCCUUUUCAGUUUUUCCUCAACUCCUUCCCCGUUUGCUUUGGAUCACCAGUUUGAAGAUCAACAUUCUGAAGAACUCCAAUUCGAGGAGGAAGAUCUUGAAGGUGGUUCAUUUUUAAAUUAUUAUGAUUAUUAAUUUUAGUUUCUAUUUUGUAUUCUAAAUAGUUUUAUGCUUAAAUUGAAAAUUUAUUUUUGUUUCUUGGUUUUUAAUUGUUUUUUUUGUAUUUAUGCAUGUUGGAUUUGAAGAGCAAGGACACUGGAAAUCGCAGAUCCAUAAUUUUUUAAAGGUAUAAAACCUGAGUUUAAUCUAUAGAGAUUAGAGCCCUAAUGUUGAAGUAGUAAAGUAUUGGAGCAUUGAUAUGAUGGCAAGCAUGGCAGCAUGGAGUUGCUAGUAUUAUAUAUGGCACUAUGGAGCUACAAAAUCUGUGGUCUUCGACAAAGGCAAGCACAGGAAAGCAUGGAGGAUGAAUUUUUGUAAAUUAUAUGGAAUGUUAGAUGUAGAACAUUUGUAUAUUAUGGCACUAUUUUUCUUUUGAAUUAUUUUUAUUAUUGUUUGUUUUGGCCUAAAAUUGAAAUUUAUUAUUUCGAUUAUAUAAUUUUUUUGAGUUAUAAUUAUUUGAGAACGAAUACAGAAACAGAUUUCGACUUUUUUUUAAUUAUUAUUAUCAAAGGUGGUGUCGCUUUAAACCGUCACUAGUUUGCAUAUUUUAUUUAUUUAAUUGUUCUCUAACGUCGCUUUAAACCGUCACUAGUUUGCAUAUUUUAUUUAGUUAAUUGUUAACUAGCGUCGCUUUAAACCGACAUUAACAUCAGCGUCGCUUUAAACCGACGCUGCGUAGUGGCGGAUUAAGCGAACAAAGCGACGCUGAAGCCCUUUGGUGACGGUAGCAAUGGCGUCGCUAUUCCAAUCCGACAUUGCAGUGUUUAAUGUCGGAUUUUUGCCAAAUUUCCGACAGAAAUCGGGGUUUCUUGUCGGUUUUUGGUCCGCCGGUGAUAGCCUAUAUUGUAGUAGUGUAAAAUCAAUUUCUAAUUGAAUACACUGAAAUGUUAUAAACUUUUUUAAAAUCCUAAUUGAAUACACCCAGAUUUCUAAGGAUUUUAAUAAACUAUCUUAAAAUUCUAAUUGAAUACGCCUUAAAUUUCAGAUAAUUACUUAAAAUCCUGAUUUAAUACAACCCCUAAAACUUUAUCAGAAAGUAGAGAGAAACAAAUAAAAUCUUCAAAUAUAUUCAUGUUUCAAAUUUUGGGAGCUAUCCCUAAUCCCACCACAAAAGUGAAAAAGAAUGUAUAAAAUUACCAUUUUGCCGUCGUCAACGAGGACAGGGUUUUCGCAGAGAGUGAGGUAAAGCUUCUUCUCGGAGGAGGAGGAGUGAGAUAGGAUGGAGGGGAUAUCAGGGGGAAGGAACUUGUCCCAAACAGCGUCGGAAUCAGCCGACGACAGCAGAUCCAUGUGAACGUGAUGAUGAUCGUCAUCGAGUUCCAUCGACACCGGCGUCCCGCAGCCCCCGCAGGUGAUUCCUUCUUCUCCUCCUCCUGAUGCACCGGCGUCGACUGUCUUCUUUGGCAUCUCUGGGUGAUCUCCGCGGCGGAGUCUCUUCAUGUUUUCCGUCUUUUGCAUCUCUGGGUGAUCUCCGCCGCGGUGGAGUCUCUUCAUGUUUUCCGGCUGUCUGUGUCGUUGACUCUCGUGUCGUGCGUGUACUUUGUUGUCCGUGUUCUGUUGUGUGUUAGAAACUUAUAAUAUUUGUAGGAAAACAGGCCUUGGGCGUUAGCGCACGGUGUUUUACUUUUCUAAUGUGGACAAACGCUACACCGUCUAGAAAACUAUAUCAGAAAUUUUUACCGUGAUAUGUUGCGGGAUUGAAAAUUAUAUGAAAUAUUUGAUAGCUUCAAUUUUCAUAAACAAUGUUUGUGUGAAAAACAAAAAAUUACGAAUGGCAAUGCAAUUUAUACGUAACCUUAUUAGGAACAAACUUAGAUACCAAAAGAAAAAUUAAAAAUCUAUUUUAUCAAAGUGUAAAGAGAUAAUUGUUUAUUCAAAAAAGUUGGACCAAUGAUAACGGCAUAAAUUACAAAUGCAGUAUUGAGAGUAUACCAGUCAAACUAAGCUUGCUACAUGCUAAACAAUGUUGAAAAACAUCAUUAGCUUUUUCAAGUGCUAUAUGCAAUGAAUGUAAUUGGAUACCAGACUUGUUCCUAGUUUGAGGUGUUUCCAAAGAAAACUGUUGUCUCUUGGAAAGUUGUGAAUACAACUGCAAAAGAUAAAAAAGACAGUUAGCCAAUGAUUAAAAAAAAAUAUGCAUAAAAAGUUCAAAUUUGAGUUUUGGGAGAGAGGGUGGAGAGAGAGGUGAAGUCACCUUAUAACCGGAGAUCAAAUGUACUUUUUCCAAUUAUUGAGAUGGUAAUUCAACUUGUGAAAUUCUGAAAGCAAACAUUUAAAUCAAGCUUAAUCAAAAUUUAGUACAAAAUGUUAAUUAGAAAUGUGUUAAAAUAGAAGUAAAAAUUAUUGAAACUUGCCUAACGUGAUGGGUACAAUUUUACCAUCUGUUUUUGGAAAAUAUACCGAUGUGACAUACCAUAUGUUGAUCUUGCCUUCUUGGAAGUAAUAUUAGUCGUUGAUUACCAGGUAGCAUAAGUUUGUACAAUAUUUUAUAAAUUAUGAGACAAAUUAUUAUGUCAAAGUUGUGUGCUAAAAAAUCAUUUAUACUUCUAUAUUGACGCAAGUUAUGAUUUUAAUUUGUAUAUACCUUGGUGGAGUCAUUUUGUGUAUGUGUUUCUUAUAUUCAUCAUCCAUGCUAUGUGAAAAGUUAAUUCUAAGUUCUGCAGAAAGUCGCAAAGAAAUGAAGUAUAAAAUUUGAGCGAAGAUUCAAUUAUGCAAAUUUACACUUUUAAACACAUAAUAUUCAAAAUAAAUAAAAUUUGAAUAAAAAGGCACUACCAUUCCAACGCCCAUUGUUUGGGUGAAAUGAAACUCUCAGAAAUUCGUGGCAAAUCCUCGAUGAAAUACUCCAAAAAGAUGAAAAACAUAUAAUUAUAAACAGAAAAAAAGGUACUACGUCAACAAAUCGAUUGAGGUGGAUGAUCACAUCAUUUUCUCUUCCCUUUAUCCUACUCUUUACCCACGUUCAUGUCUGUACAAUGCUCAAGCACAACGCAAAUUAAUUCAAAGGAAAUAUGCACAACCCAAGAGAAAUUAAUUAAUUCAAAUAAUUAUUCACUUCCACUCAACCCAAAUUAAUUCAAACGAAAUCUGCACAACCCAAAGAAAGAGAUCAAACGAAAUAUGCACAACCAAAAUGAAGAGAUCAAACUCUAAUUCUAUCAAAAAGCCAUUAUUCCUAAUGCCACCUUUCUUUUUGGCACCCUAUCCAUUUUCUCAGCAAUCGAUACAGAAACAAAUAAGUCCAUAAAAAAGAAAUAAACCCAAGAAGUAUAUGCACACAACACAAAUCAACCCAAUCAACAAACUUUAUUUAAAUAGACCAAAAUGAGUAAUAAGUCAUUGAACCCUCACUUCACCAUUCUAAGCUUUUCUAUAUCUCUCUACGUAUAUACAAGGGUAGACAUUCAAUCCUCACUUCUUUCUUUUUUGAGAGUUCUACAUACUAAUUGGAGGAAACCAAGGAAUUCGAAGCUUUUCCAUACCUCGGCUUAUAUUUUGGGGGAAUUUAAUGUGUUCUUGAAAAUUGGGAAAAGUGAAUGUGGAGGAAUAGGGGAAGAGUCCAUUGUCUCUCAAGCUAUUCCCUUUGAAUUGCUGUAAAAAAAACUCUCACAUCCACCAUUCCCCCUAUUCCAGUUCAAAAAAUUUAAAUUAAAAAUUUUAAGAAGAAACUCAACAGAAAAUCACUAAAUAGUUCAUAUAAAUUUGGAAUCUUUGUUAUUUUCCUGAAUAAAAAAAGGUGGAAACUUUACCUGAGGAACUGAAAGUCAAGCUGUGAUGAGAGCAAGGUAGAUGGUGCUGCAAAUGUUAUGGAGGGACAAAAUCAGAACUGAUAGGAUGGAAUAAAUCAGUCGGAAAACUCAAGACAUGAUCAACCUGUUCGUUGCCGACCUGCAUCCACACAAAAACCAUUCAAAAAAAUCGCCAAUUAGAUUCGAUAGCAUACCACAAUGUCAUGAAGCAAAAUUAACUAUAAUCACGAAAUUAGCAACCUGAAAUCUGCCGGACAACUCACCAGGAAACCCAACGUUUUCUGGGUUUAAGUUUUCUUCCAAUCUGAAACGGAUUCAUCUAAAACACAACCUCCAGGGCAAAGAAUAUAAUCGAAGGAAAACUAAUGAAAAAGGCUUGAAAACUUUGAGUUUUAAUGAUAAGGACAAAAUAAAGGGUAAAGUGAAUAGUACCAGGAUUGACUUUUUAGUGUAAAAUGUGGUUUUUCGUUAAAGUGAACAGUACCGGAUGCUUUUCGUUAAAAUUCCCUAUAAUCGACCUACAACAGUUUGCUUAACAUUGAAUAGGGAUAGGAAGGUUGUAAACAAUAUAUAUGGGUUUUAAACACUAUAUACAUAUAUAAUAGAGAUACAACAUGAACAUUCACGAUAUUUCCUUGUAAAAUCUAGUAAGCAGAAGGAACUCAGGAUACUUCAACAAUGGAUAAGGAUACUUCCUCAUUUUAUCGGAUUACUUUGAAACUUGUUAGAAUAUAUUCAUUAUCUCGUUAUUUUCAUGAUGAAGAUAGUAUUUUCACUAAAUCUAGUGUAUUUUUAUCCUAUAUUGUCCAAAGUUUGAAUUAAUCCCCGAAUAAUACUUGACAAUAAAUAACAUGGGAACACUGAGAAAUAAGAAAUAAGAAUUCGACAAUCAUACAUGAUUAAAUCACAAAAUGAGUCAAAUAUUCUCAAAAUCAUUCUAAACGUGACAUUGAAAUCAAACUGACCAAAGUUUAUAUAGAACUGAGCAUAUCAUCUCUUCUUGUUCUUGAUCACUGUUGUUCCCAAUGCGGUCCAUUCCGGCUUCCCAGAAUUAUCGUCCGAAAAGGGUUUCACCAGAAAUUGGUGAACAGAACUUUUGUCCCUUCCACUAAUUUAGUACGCAGAGAAAAGAUUGGAAGGGAAACAAAAUCCAACAAAUAAAAAAGGGGUCAGUGAAACGAUACAAAUAUUCAUAAAAAUUAAAUUUUCUGCAAGGGGCAUCCCAGAAUUUAAAUUCACACUAAACCCAUUUUCUAGUUCUCUUAAUUGAAGCGAACCCAGAAAUAAAAUAACGAAAAAAAUGAAAAAAUAUUUCUCGGGAUCCAAACACCUCAAAAGCCCCGAACAUAAAAAUUAAAAAAAACAGAAUACCUUUGCGGGUUUGGAACUCUUCGCUCAUAAGUGUUAACAGUAGGGUGCUGCGUCUUUUUCAGACGGUCACUUCGUCGUCGUUUCCAUCAGUAACAAUUGGAGGUGAAGCUGCUGGUUUUGGGUGAAGAAGAAGAGGAAGAUGAGGGUUUGAAGAAGGCACUGACCUUCGAUUGCAUUGCAUGAAUGUGUCGGAUUGGAUUUGAAUUGAUUUGAGUUCAUUGCCCUUCCAUCGUUCUUUGGUUCAGAGAAAACAGAAUGAAGGAAAAAAGUGGAGAAACAUUGUCGAUAAGUGAGAACGAACAUAGAUAACCCAGAGAAGAAAAAACUAGGGAGAGAACUCGAGCUAGGUUCGUGUUCUCAGCGAGAUGGACAAGGAUUAUCUGCCCUCCCAUUUCCCGUGCCCUCCAGUUUUGUGUGAUCACGGUUAAGCCACGUCAACAUUUUAUAUUAGAUCACGCAAAAUAGGAGGGCACGAGAAGUGGGAGUGCAGACAAUCCUUGUCCCAGCGAGAGAGCCAGUGGACUUCUGCCAUCCCCACGAUUACCAACAUGUGUACAUCAAGGUAGCGGCAGAGAGUCGGUGAAAGCGCUUCAGAGACAGAAAUGAAAUAAAACAAAUCAACCGAGGGCAAAUAUGCCCGGACACUGGUGAUGAACAGUGCUGAGGAACUCAGUUUUUAUGAUUUCCAAAAUAAGAGAGAAAAUUACCAACUGCUUAAAUUUCUAGGGAAAAAUUAACAGAUAACUCUAUUCAAAAUAAGAGAAGAGGUUAUUGGGUUUCCUUUUUCGCUUUCAUUUCAAAUUUUUUUACUUUAGUAAGUCAUCAGCACUAUCUAGUAUCUAGUGUAUAUUCUCAAGUUAGAAAUCUCAAAUUCAACUUAUCUUGUUAACAAAUUUAAUGAAAUAACACUGACAGUGGCAGACCGACGUUAGUAAAAAGUACUUGAACUCGGUUUGAUUUGUGACGCGAUGCCAGAUGACCUCGGUUCAAUUUGUUGUGCACCAUGAACUUGGCCGAGAAGAGAAUGCAGACAUUCUUAGGUCAAAAAACUAUACGUGUGAUAACACAUCUCCUAAUCUCCUCAUCCAUCAAAUAAGUUUAUAACGUUUUACAACUAGUAUUCAAAGGUGAAAGGAAUCAUUAAAUAAUUAUUCAAGAUGACUGUAACCACUGUUAAUGAUCAAGGUUCAGCCACUUAUAAUGCCAAGAUUAAAGAACCAAAAGGGUGCGGUUGUCGCGGUGUGACCAUAGAAAUUGGUGUCCGGUAAGAGAUAGAGAAGCAAGACUACACUUUGGCAAUCAAGUACAAGAGCUCCGAGGAAGAAGCCAUCUCAUUUGGUGCAAUUGUUUGGGAAGAAGAGAGUGAAAAUUUUACUAUGAGGAGCCCUAUUGUGAUCUCGAGUAGCCCUACUGUGAUCGUUGCGUAAGAACACAUUAGCUAGCAUUUCGGGUAGUUUGGUAUGACUUCCUGAUAUGUACGACAAUGCACCCAUUACGUGUAAGUCCUUAAAAAAGGCUUAACUUUCUACACUCUUUUGGGCCUGACUUCAAUCCCCUGAACAAUAAGGCCUCUCUUCAUUCUAUGAAGGUCAACAUCCAUACAUGUCAUCUCCAUUAACCCCCCAUCUUCUUCUCCUGAACAGAAAAACUCUCCAAUCUCCACCUCCAGCCAGCCGUCGGGCCUUUUCUUUGGAUAUUGAGUUUCAUCGAUUUCCAUGGGUCUCCCGGUAAUGUUCUGUCUCCCCAGAAACACAAUGCGCUUACUACUAGUCUCUUCUUCCCCAAAAAGUCCUACCUUGACCUCCAAGGGAUCGUCACGACCAAAUCCUCUAGCCUUUCAUUUAACAUGAACACAAGAUAAGCUUUGUAGACAGUGGAGGGGGAAAGAAUCCGUGUAUCAUUUUUGCCACGAAUGUCAAGCCACCAAACAACUAUAAGCUCAGGCACCUCCUCAAACCUGCACGCGUCUCGAGGCGUCGUUAAGGAGACGACGUUAGCUAUGCAUCCUUCGGGCAACUCCUGCAGAUCCAUGUGAACGUGAUGAUGAUCGUCAUCGAGUACCAUCGACACCGGCGUCCCGCAGCCCCCGCAGGUGAUUCCUUCUCCUCCU
This 35788-nucleotide long non-coding RNA is filed under the name Malus domestica (apple). RNAcentral's name for it is "long non-coding RNA (MDOM_LNC004176)". The record is from RNAcentral. Lineage: Eukaryota; Viridiplantae; Streptophyta; Magnoliopsida; Rosales; Rosaceae.